UCAAACUUGGUCAUUUAGAGGAAGUAAAAGUCGUAACAAGGUUUCCGUAGGUGAACCUGCGGAAGGAUCAUUACUGAGUUAGGGUCUUCCAUGGCCCGACCUCCAACCCUUUGUUAAUUAUACCUUUGUUGCUUCGGUGAGUUGGUUUUUACGACCACCGGGGGUUUAUCGACCCUUGGGUUUUCGAACAUUCACCGGUAGCCUACUUUAUAAACUCUUGCAAAUUUUGUAUCAGUCUAAAGUAAUCAGUAUGAGGAGAAAUCCUCAUUCUAAAUAAACACAAAACUUUCAACAACGGAUCUCUUGGUUCUGGCAUCGAUGAAGAACGCAGC
RNAcentral lists this unclassified non-coding RNA (332 nucleotides) under uncultured fungus. RNAcentral's name for it is "partial contains small subunit ribosomal RNA, internal transcribed spacer 1, and 5.8S ribosomal RNA". The stretch from base 1 to 73 matches the Rfam family "Eukaryotic small subunit ribosomal RNA", at positions 1759 to 1831 of the family's 1831-position model. Lineage: Eukaryota; Fungi. The record is from RNAcentral.